GGUUCCAUAGUGAAGCGAUUAGCACGUCUGCUUUACACCCAGAAGGUCCUGGGUUCGCACCCCAGUGGACCA
Molecule: transfer RNA, 72 nt
Filed under: Pteropus alecto (black flying fox)
Lineage: Eukaryota; Metazoa; Chordata; Mammalia; Chiroptera; Pteropodidae
Rfam family: tRNA
About the family: Transfer RNA (tRNA) molecules are approximately 80 nucleotides in length.
Source: Rfam by way of RNAcentral